GAUGAAGAACGCAGCGAAACGCGAUAGUUAAUGUGAAUUGCAGAAUUCAGUGAAUCAUCGAAUCUUUGAACGCACAUUGCGCCCGCCAGUAUUCUGGCGGGCAUGCCUGUUCGAGCGUCAUUACAACCCUCAGGCCCCCGGGCCUGGCGUUGGGGAUCGGCGGAGCCCCCCGUGGGCACACGCCGUCCCCCAAAUGCAGUGGCGGUCCCGCCGCAGCUUCCAUCGCGUAGUAGCUAACACCUCGCGACUGGAGAGCGGCGCGGCCACGCCGUAAAACACCCAACUCUUCUGAAGUUGACCUCGAAUCAGGUAGGAAUACCCGCUGAACUUAAGCAUAUCAAUAAGCGGAGGA
This 352-nucleotide unclassified non-coding RNA is filed under the name soil metagenome. RNAcentral's name for it is "partial contains 5.8S ribosomal RNA, internal transcribed spacer 2, and large subunit ribosomal RNA". The stretch from base 1 to 120 matches the Rfam family "5.8S ribosomal RNA", at positions 35 to 154 of the family's 154-position model. The record is from RNAcentral.